Cryptotermes secundus is the source of this 869-nucleotide long non-coding RNA. RefSeq lists it as uncharacterized. Lineage: Eukaryota; Metazoa; Arthropoda; Insecta; Blattodea; Kalotermitidae. The record is from RefSeq and is a predicted model, not a curated record. The transcript is spliced from 3 exons.
GAAGGCAGGGCUACUUAGUGCCACGGACAACAAGCAUAAAGAGGCUGUGUUGUGUUUUUUGUGCAGCAUCAGUUCCCAAGUCAAGGUCCCGUAGCAGCCCCAGCGGCUAGAUCAAAGAUGUCUUGGCCCUCCUACACUUGAGCCUUCAGCAAGACAUCUGUCAAGAUAGAGCUAUGACGUCAUCAUUAGUGUCAAGUAGAAGGCAGACUAAUAAGCAGAUCUCCCCUCUUUGUCACCUUGGAAAGUGGGCCAGUCUCUACCUGAGAGUGUGAUGUGGUGCACAGAAGCUCUUAAUGAAUCAGCAUGUGCCUGGAUCCGCUUAGUGUCAACGUAUACACGUAUCAAUAUGUCGUCAAGAUGGCCGUACAAGCAUGGCCUGCAAAUGGCGACAGAUUCCUGAACGUCACAACGAGAAACAGCGACGUCCUGUUUAUAAAAUAUAAUCUGUCAUUAUGGUGCUGUGGCGUCUUUAUUUAGAGCAAAUACCCCAAUAUUCGUUACUGCUUACUUGACAGAGCCUAAGUCUGAAAUGUUUGCUUCCAGUCGCGUUGAUGGCAUUUGAAAAUAUAACUGCCUUUCUAGUUUAAAAAUACUUUGUAAAUAGACCAAUUAUAAUAAUUUAUAUGUUUCUCAAGAAGAACCUUGUUCCGUGGAUAUAAUGAAGUUGCAGUAAGUGUCACUUUACAUAGGGAUCUAAAUUGACUUAUGUAUAUAUUUUCCUUCCGUAGAACACGUCGUUAAAAAUAAAGUAUCAGGUAUUUAUUAUAUGAGAAUUUCCACAUUUAAAUUUUCUUCAAUAUAAUUGAUUUUAAUGGCCAUAUUACUUAAGAGCCCAGUACAUUUACGGAAGUAGCUCACCGAGCAGGAUA